GGAAAAAUUGUCAUGGGUAAGACAGAAUACUUGCUAGGUAUUUCCCACAUCACGGGCUAAGGGUUCAAAUCCCUUUUUUUCCG
Molecule: transfer RNA, 83 nt
Filed under: Pneumocystis sp. 'ludovicianus'
Lineage: Eukaryota; Fungi; Ascomycota; Pneumocystomycetes; Pneumocystales; Pneumocystaceae
Description: tRNA-Ser
Rfam family: tRNA
About the family: Transfer RNA (tRNA) molecules are approximately 80 nucleotides in length. Their secondary structure includes four short double-helical elements and three loops (D, anti-codon, and T loops).
Source: RNAcentral